GUGCUCACUUUGGCAGCACAUAUACUAAAAUUGGAACAAUAAGAGAAGAUUAGCAUAGCCUCUGUGCAAGGAUGACACACAAAUUUCUGAAGUAGUCCAUAUUUAA
Molecule: small nuclear RNA, 106 nt
Organism: Cebus imitator (Panamanian white-faced capuchin)
Lineage: Eukaryota; Metazoa; Chordata; Mammalia; Primates; Cebidae
Source: Ensembl